AGCAACAAAUGCCCUGCUUCCAGGAAAAGCCUCUAAGCAUCAGGUAACAUCAAAUCGUACCCCAAACCGACACAGGUGGUCAGGUAGAGAAUACCAAGGCGCUUGAGAGAACUCGGGUGAAGGAACUAGGCAAAAUGGUGCCGUAACUUCGGGAGAAGGCACGCUGACACGUAGGUGAAGUGAUUUACUCAUGGAGCUGAAGUCAGUCGAAGAUACCAGCUGGCUGCAACUGUUUAUUAAAAACACAGCACUGUGCAAACACGAAAGUGGACGUAUACGGUGUGACGCCUGCCCGGUGCCGGAAGGUUAAUUGAUGGGGUCAGCGCAAGCGAAGCUCCUGAUCGAAGCCCCGGUAAACGGCGGCCGUAACUAUAACGGUCCUAAGGUAGCGAAAUUCCUUGUCGGGUAAGUUCCGACCUGCACGAAUGGCGUAAUGAUGGCCAGGCUGUCUCCACCCGAGACUCAGUGAAAUUGAACUCGCUGUGAAGAUGCAGUGUACCCGCGGCAAGACGGAAAGACCCCGUGAACCUUUACUAUAGCUUGACACUGAACAUUGAGCCUUGAUGUGUAGGAUAGGUGGGAGGCUUUGAAGCGUGGACGCCAGUCUGCGUGGAGCCGACCUUGAAAUACCACCCUUUAAUGUUUGAUGUUCUAACGUGGACCCGUAAUCCGGGUUGCGGACAGUGUCUGGUGGGUAGUUUGACUGGGGCGGUCUCCUCCUAAAGAGUAACGGAGGAGCACGAAGGUUGGCUAAUCCUGGUCGGACAUCAGGAGGUUAGUGCAAUGGCAUAAGCCAGCUUGACUGCGAGCGUGACGGCGCGAGCAGGUGCGAAAGCAGGUCAUAGUGAUCCGGUGGUUCUGAAUGGAAGGGCCAUCGCUCAACGGAUAAAAGGUACUCCGGGGAUAACAGGCUGAUACCGCCCAAGAGUUCAUAUCGACGGCGGUGUUUGGCACCUCGAUGUCGGCUCAUCACAUCCUGGGGCUGAAGUAGGUCCCAAGGGUAUGGCUGUUCGCCAUUUAAAGUGGUACGCGAGCUGGGUUUAGAACGUCGUGAGACAGUUCGGUCCCUAUCUGCCGUGGGCGCUGGAGAACUGAGGGGGGCUGCUCCUAGUACGAGAGGACCGGAGUGGACGCAUCACUGGUGUUCGGGUUGUCAUGCCAAUGGCACUGCCCGGUAGCUAAAUGCGGAAGAGAUAAGUGCUGAAAGCAUCUAAGCACGAAACUUGCCCCGAGAUGAGUUCUCCCUGAGACUUAGAGUCUCCUGAAGGAACGUUGAAGACGACGACGUUGAUAGGCCGGGUGUGUAAGCGCAGCGAUGCGUUGAGCUAACCGGUACUAAUGAACCGUGAGGCUUAACCUUAC
Molecule: ribosomal RNA, 1362 nt
Filed under: Salmonella enterica
Lineage: Bacteria; Pseudomonadati; Pseudomonadota; Gammaproteobacteria; Enterobacterales; Enterobacteriaceae
Description: partial 23S ribosomal RNA
Rfam family: Bacterial large subunit ribosomal RNA
Source: RNAcentral